This 252-nucleotide ribosomal RNA is filed under the name uncultured bacterium. RNAcentral describes it as "partial 16S ribosomal RNA". It matches the Rfam family "Bacterial small subunit ribosomal RNA", at positions 524 to 776 of the family's 1533-position model. The record is from RNAcentral.
UACAGAGGUCCCGAGCGUUGUUCGGAUUCACUGGGCGUAAAGGGUGCGUAGGUGGUGAGGAAAGUCGGAUGUGAAAUCUCCGGGCUUAACCCGGAAACUGCAUUGGAAACUACCUUGCUAGAGGUUUUGAGGGGGACUGGAAUUCUCGGUGUAGCAGUGAAAUGCGUAGACAUCGAGAGGAACACCAGUGGCGAAGGCGGUUCUCUGGGCAUUACCUGACGCUGAGGAGCGAAAGUGUGGGGAGCGAACAGG